AGUUUGAUCCUGGCUCAGGAUGAACGCUAGCUACAGGCUUAACACAUGCAAGUCGAGGGGCAGCAUUGGAGUAGCAAUACUUCAGAUGGCGACCGGCGCACGGGUGAGUAACACGUAUCCAACCUGCCGCUUACUCGGGGAUAGCCUUUCGAAAGAAAGAUUAAUACCCGAUGGUAUAAAGAGUUCGCAUGUUCUCUUUAUUAAAGAAUUUCGGUAAGCGAUGGGGAUGCGUUCCAUUAGAUAGUUGGCGGGGUAACGGCCCACCAAGUCUACGAUGGAUAGGGGUUCUGAGAGGAAGGUCCCCCACAUUGGAACUGAGACACGGUCCAAAUCCUACGGGAGGCAGCAGUGAGGAAUAUUGGUCAAUGGACGCGAGUCUGAACCAGCCAAGUAGCGUGAAGGAUGACUGCCCUAUGGGUUGUAAACUUCUUUUAUAAGGGAAUAAAGUGAGGGACGUGUCCCUUUUUGUAUGUACCUUAUGAAUAAGGAUCGGCUAACUCCGUGCCAGCAGCCGCGGUAAUACGGAGGAUCCAAGCGUUAUCCGGAUUUAUUGGGUUUAAAGGGAGCGUAGGUUGACAUAUAAGUCAGCUGUGAAAGUUUACGGCUCAACCGUGAAAUUGCAGUUGAUACUGUAUGUCUUGAGUGUACAAGAGGUGGGCGGAAUUCGUGGUGUAGCGGUGAAAUGCUUAGAUAUCACGAAGAACUCCAAUUGCGAAGGCAGCUCACUGGGGUACAACUGACACUGAGGCUCGAAAGUGUGGGUAUCAAACAGGAUUAGAUACCCUGGUAGUCCACACAGUAAACGAUGAAUACUCGCUGUUUGCGAUAUACAGUAAGCGGCCAAGCGAAAGCAUUAAGUAUUCCACCUGGGGAGUACGCCGGCAACGGUGAAACUCAAAGGAAUUGACGGGGGCCCGCACAAGCGGAGGAACAUGUGGUUUAAUUCGAUGAUACGCGAGGAACCUUACCCGGGCUUGAAUUGCAGAGGAACAUAGUUGAAAGAUUAUGGCCGCAAGGUCUCUGUGAAGGUGCUGCAUGGUUGUCGUCAGCUCGUGCCGUGAGGUGUCGGCUUAAGUGCCAUAACGAGCGCAACCCUUAUCAUUAGUUACUAACAGGUCAUGCUGAGGACUCUAGUGAGACUGCCGUCGUAAGAUGUGAGGAANGUGGA
This 1168-nucleotide ribosomal RNA is filed under the name uncultured Bacteroides sp. RNAcentral describes it as "bacterial SSU rRNA". It matches the Rfam family "Bacterial small subunit ribosomal RNA", at positions 10 to 1177 of the family's 1533-position model. Lineage: Bacteria; Pseudomonadati; Bacteroidota; Bacteroidia; Bacteroidales; Bacteroidaceae. The record is from RNAcentral.